UACGUAGGGUGCGAGCGUUGUCCGGAAUUAUUGGGCGUAAAGGGCUCGUAGGCGGUUUGUCGCGUCGGGAGUGAAAACACCGGGCUCAACUCGGUGCUUGCUUUCGAUACGGGCAGACUAGAGGCAUGCAGGGGAGAACGGAAUUCCUGGUGUAGCGGUGAAAUGCGCAGAUAUCAGGAGGAACACCGGUGGCGAAGGCGGUUCUCUGGGACGGUACUGACGCUGAGACGCGAAAGCGUGGGGAGCGAACAGG
Molecule: ribosomal RNA, 253 nt
Filed under: uncultured bacterium
Lineage: Bacteria
Description: partial 16S ribosomal RNA
Rfam family: Bacterial small subunit ribosomal RNA
Source: RNAcentral